This 334-nucleotide long non-coding RNA is filed under the name Struthio camelus australis. RNAcentral's name for it is "lncRNA (ENSSCUG00000014254.1)". Lineage: Eukaryota; Metazoa; Chordata; Aves; Struthioniformes; Struthionidae. The record is from RNAcentral.
UCGGGGCUCGCCUCCCCCGGCCCCAGCCUCCGAGGAUGCCGCAGCAUCUUCUCCCAGCGCACCCCAAGGGACCUCUAUGCCACAUGGGGACAAAAGAAGCAGACAGUUUCCAACGGUUACAGAUGCACAGGUGCCUCUCCUACUCAGACAGCUGAUAGACCCAUCCUUGCUUAUGAUCUGGAUCCAGUCCUGGAGAACAGGAAGUGGAACAGUGGGGUCGUCAGAGCCAUGUUUGGUACAGAACUCUAUGCUAUUGCAGCUACACUUCUGGAAAAAAAGAACAAGAAGAAACAGAGUAAUGUUCAAAAGAGAAACUGAGGGAAAGAGAAAAUGA